Molecule: ribosomal RNA, 496 nt
Filed under: uncultured bacterium
Lineage: Bacteria
Description: bacterial SSU rRNA
Rfam family: Bacterial small subunit ribosomal RNA
Source: RNAcentral
CAGGACGAACGCUGGCGGUGUGCUUAACACAUGCAAGUGGUGCGACGAACCAGAGCUUGCUCUGGGGCAAAGCCGCGAACGGGUGAGUAACACGUGGGUAAUCUACCCCGAUGACCGGGACAACCCGAGGAAACUCGGGCUAAUACCGGAUGUGGUACGGAGACAUAAGUCUCUUUACUAAAGGUAGCUUCGGCUUCCGCAUUGGGAGGGGCCCGCGGCCCAUUAGCUAGUUGGUGGGGUCAAGGCCUACCAAGGCAAUGAUGGGUAGCUGGUCUGAGAGGACGAUCAGCCACACUGGGACUGAGACACGGCCCAGACUCCUACGGGAGGCAGCAGUGGGGAAUCUUGCGCAAUGCGCGAAAGCGUGACGCAGCAACACCGCGUGAGGGAAGACGGCCUUAGGGUUGUAAACCUCUUUCAGAUGGGACGAAGGUGAUGCGGUGAAUAGCCGAUGUCAUUGACGGUACCGUCAGAAGAAGCUCCGGCUAACUACGUG